CCUGUUUAUCAAAAACAUAACCACAUGUAAUUACGUGUGGCUUUUUCUGCUCAAUGAUAUUUAAAUAGCCGCAGUACUCUGACUGUGCAAAGGUAGCAUAAUAAUUUGGCUUAUAAUUGAAGUCUGGUAUGAACGAAUAAAUGGGGAAUAACUGUGUCCGCGGUGUUGUGUGAAUUUGCUAAUUACGUGAAAAUACGUAUAAUUAAAUAAUAGACGAGAAGACCCUAGAAAUUUUGAGGAUAUUUCGCUUACUCUUUUUGCUGGGGCGGCAUAGUAACAAUUAACUUGCAUUACUUGACCCGAAGUAAAUUCGCUGACAGAUUAAAUUACUCUAGGGAUAACAGCAUAAUUUACUAUAGUUUGUGACCUCGAUGUUGGAUUAGGAAGUUGAAGUCUAGAAGAUUUACAAAAUAGCUCUGUUCGAGCAAUUUCUCCUACGUGAUCUGAGUUCAGACC
Molecule: ribosomal RNA, 456 nt
Filed under: Camaena obtecta
Lineage: Eukaryota; Metazoa; Mollusca; Gastropoda; Stylommatophora; Camaenidae
Description: partial 16S ribosomal RNA
Rfam family: Archaeal large subunit ribosomal RNA
Source: RNAcentral